UACGAAGGGGGGCUAGCGUUGUUCGGAUUUACUGGGCGUAAAGCGCACGUAGGCGGAUUGUUAAGUGAGGGGUGAAAUCCUGGAGCUCAACUCCAGAACUGCCUUUCAUACUGGCAAUCUAGAGUCCGGAAGAGGUAAGUGGAACUCCUAGUGUAGAGGUGGAAUUCGUAGAUAUUAGGAAGAACACCAGUGGCGAAGGCGGCUUACUGGUCCGGUACUGACGCUGAGGUGCGAAAGCGUGGGGAGCAAACAGG
This 254-nucleotide ribosomal RNA is filed under the name uncultured bacterium. Its description in RNAcentral is "partial 16S ribosomal RNA". It matches the Rfam family "Bacterial small subunit ribosomal RNA", at positions 524 to 776 of the family's 1533-position model. The record is from RNAcentral.